UUGAAAUUCAUUCAUUAAGCUAAUGAGGCCCUGCGGUUAGCAGCCCACGCCUCCCCCGAUCCAAACAGGAGGGGCUUCACCUGGGUCCCGUGCGAUGGGCCUCGUGUUUCCCACCGGGUGGGACGACGGCGGUGGCGGGGGGCAUGCUGUGGGCACGGCGGAGCCGCCGAGGCUGCACCCCGGGGAACAAGCACCGCUUGCAGCAGGACGAGAGGUUUGGGGGCAGAGGGAGGCGUUGGGGCAGCCGCCCCUGCACGAAGCAUCCCUGGGCUUGCGGCAUGGACAGAGCAGGGUUAUCGUUCCCGGCUGGACUAUUCCCACCUGGGCUGUUGGUCAGAUCUGGGCUGUUGUUCCCCCACCCUGGGCUGUUGUUCCCCACCUCGGGCUGUUGUUCCCCUACCCUGGGCUGUUGUUGCAAGCAGUCGCAAGCCCCUGCCUCCUCUCCUCGCGUCCAGCAGCAGCGACAGCCUGAGAGCUGAGCCUGGCUUAGUGCCACGGUCCCCGGGGGCAGGAUCCCCAGGGGGGAUCACAGAGGAGCAUUACCAUCCUGCAGACAGCUCCCUAGUUAGAUAUAUUGGGGGUUUUCUGCAUCCCCAGAGGCGUCUGGGCCAAGUAUCAGGGUGGAUGGUGAGGAAAACCCGAGUGGGGGGCCCCAGGUGGUGCACGGGUCGGUGCGUGGGGACCCCGGUGUGGUCGCAGCCCCCGACACGGCACUGCAGCCCCGCUCUGCACGUCCUUCCUAGGGAAGAUUAUGGAGGCACAUUACAUGUGGAGGUAAAACGGAUGGAGGAGCGGGCAGGAGUGCUGGGUCAGCAAGUCGCGCAGGCUGGAAGCGAACGAUGAGCGCUCAGAGGGAGAAGGAAGAGACUGAGCUUAAAACAGUAACGCCCGCCCUGUCCCUCGGGAGUCCAACCGCACCCCAGAGGGCAAGUUUGGGACUCGCAAGUUGUCUGCGCUCCUCAGACGGGCAAGCCCUGAUCCUCGGCUGUUAUCUUUGGCGCUUUCUCCCUUCAAGCCUUCUACCUCUGUUUGUCUCCUCUGCAACGACAGGAACCUGCUGAGUUAAAACCCCAUGAGUGCCAGCUCUGGGGACGAAGCAUCGUGUCCCAGCAUGGUGUCCCCAGCCGGGGAAAGCGUGGGAGCCGUGUCCCACAUGGGUGCUCCUGCUCGGCACUUCGCAGUGCCUGCCUGCAGCCGAGGUUAAUGCAGGUAUUGCGGGCAAGGAAUCCGAGCCACCGCGCAGGGAGCUGCUGGGGAAUAGCUGCCGCGCUUUACAUUCACAGCCCAUCUAUUUUGCAAUAACUUCACCGUGAUGUUCCCACGUAGACAAGCCUAAGCUAGCAUAGAUAAUGAAAUGGGUUAAAGGAGACAGGCGGAGGGAGAGGAGAGGAGCCAGCAACUGGUAGUAAAUCAGGGAAAGAACAGGGUUACUUUAAAUUCAAGGACUCAGUGGCAGGGCGAGUUUGGUUUAUGCCAAGAGGCACACGGUUUAGAGGAUGAGACACAGUUUGGGAAGACAGAAGUGUCCCCUUGGCGGGGCCACCAACCCUUCUCUGUUCCCAUCAGCCCCCGUCCCACUCCCCCUCGUGCCUGCCCUGUGGGUGUCACUGGGAUUAAGCACGACCAUGGGCACCCGUCCCUGGGGGGUAAAGGGUGGUCAGGGGAUCCCGAAAGAGCUGCCGGCCUGGCGGGGCAGGCAGUGGGCUCUGCUCCACAGGGGGAAGGUCCUGCUCGUGGUCGGGACCCGGGGGGACCCAGCUGCUGAGACUCCCCCACCUUUGGCAUGGGUUUCGAGGCAGUCCAAACAAGCUAAUUAAAUCCUGCUCUGCUUAAUCAGAGCCAUUGAACACCAGUCAGAAGAAAUUAAUCCUGUGUUUUAUUAGAUGCUGUUUGAAGUCGCGUUUGGCACCUCAUCCUCGGUUCUCAUCUCCUUCUGGGGAAGGAAGAGGGACAUCUGCGGGGAAGAGCGAGGGUGCAGCAGAUGGCAGCGGGGAUGAUUCAGGGGCUCGGGGAAGGAGCUGACACUCCAGCGGCGUCCCCCGGGGUGGGGGGGGGAGAGGACAAGACACCUCUUCCUGCAUCCCACGGCCCACCCCCUCCCCGUGGCUGAGAGCCUACGAGCCAGCCAGGCAUCCCCCCUCCCCUCCCCCCCCCAAAAAAUACAUGUUCCUCCGCAUUGCAUGCUAAUGGCUCCGCACGAUAGGUCCCGCCGCAAUUAAAGCACGCGGAGCGUUAAUAUGCAAGGUGGAGAGGCCACUCUUCCCACAGCUACUCCCUCCCAAACCUGUCCUUCCUGCUGCGCAUCCCUGCCCACGGGGAGCCUGCCCACGGGGAUCCCACAGCAUUCGUGCCUUCCCCCCCCCCGCUGGGCCUGGGGGACGAUGCCUUUCCGCCCCCCCCAGCACCCAGCACCUUCUCCUGCCCUCGGGCUCGGCGGAGCGGGGUCUGUUGGGUGGGUGCUGUGCCACGCAGCCCCGGCGAGGGAGGCACCUCAAUGCUCGGGAGAAAUCCACAGGCGGGUGGUUGAAACAACCAGUUGGGCUCUUGGCUUGGGGGUUUUAAUGAAUCCUGGUGCCUUCAAGUGCUGCAACCCAAGAAGAACUCCCGACGAAGGGAAAGCCUGGCUGAAUAAGGUGGCCCACAGGUCGCCUUGGUACGUCCUCCUGUGACUCGGCCAGCCGGAGCUGCUGGCUUCGGGCGUGGGGAUUUCUUUUUUUUUUCUCAAAUUUCCUGUCACAACUUGUGUGAAAACUUUGCAGAGCCAUUUAAUUGCAUUCUGCGGUGGUGAUGAUACGAAAUUAGUCUCCCUUCUGAUCUUGAGCUAAGUUGGUCCAAAGCACUGGGCUUGUAAUUUGCUCUAAUCGUCAGGUCGCGGGAGAUGCGAAGGCAGGGCUGGUACCUGGUGAAUUCACACGGGCUGGGAGUUUCCGCCCUCGCCGUGCCGGUGUUGGAUGGCUGGCAGGCCGGGCUCUGCCGCCUUGGGAUGCCAGUGUUGAUACUUUAUUUUGGUGCUGUUUGCAGGAAGCUUUCCCUUGACUGCUCUUCUCCACCUCCCCUAGCAGCAGCUGAGAACUAGAGCGGGUCCGGAGGAGCUGAGGUGGAUUCCCAGCCCCUGGAGCUGCUCUCUCCUCUGAGCACCUCGGGGACAUCCACCCCUCCCAGCUGCAGACCAGCCAUCAGGCUGAAUUCCCCUGAGGAGGCAGAGAUCCAGGCUCUCAUCACAUUUCCCUGGGCUAGCUUCACAUCCCAAAUGACCCCGGGGGGGUUCAAGGAGAGGAGGCGGCUGGGUUUUGCCAGCUCACCUACCCCAGAAAAUCCCUGAGUUAAAAGAAAACAAGCUGCUGAUGAACAGGAGCGGGGCAGAGCGAUAUUCUGGGCAUGGAGAGGCCCUUUUGCUGCCGAGGGCACGGCGCCAAUCACGCCAGUGGCAGUAAUGCCUUCCACCUCCACGCAGAAGGUACAGAAUAUGAGGGUAUUAUUUUUAACCGGGGAUAUUUAGUGAACAUCUCCCUGGCUGCUGGAGGGUCAAAUUUAUCCCACAGCCUCAGUCCCAGGGGAGGCUCCCAGUUAUUUUCGAGCGCAUCAGAGCAGCAGAGGGAUAGGAAGGCUCAGGAGACACAAAGUCUGGGAUUUGUCUGGCCUGGCCCUUCGGUCUCUGCCGCAGAGACGCGCCGGGAGCAGAGCCCCCAACGCCCAUCUCACCAUCACCCCGACCCCCACCCUGCCAAGCAAAACCCUUGCAAAAGCGCCAGGUUUUCCUCUUUCCGACCAGAGGAUCUUGGAUGCCUUCAAGUUUUGAUCCUUUUCGACCUACCGCGUCGCAAGGAGAUUAUUUCCCCCACCACCACCACCACCACCUCCCUGUUCGUUUUAAGCUGUGCUUUAAAGCGAGUUUAGCCCUGCUCGGGCAGGUCCCGGUGGCCGUGAACAUUCCCACGGGGCGCAGCAGCACUACUCGCCGCUGGAGCAGCUACUCCUACGCCCCGCGGCUCCCCGAGCCUCCCUGCCCUUGCAGGAGGGUCGCUGGGCACAUUCGGCCCCGCUCAAACUCCCCUGAACUCUUCAGCAUUUUGCAGGAUGAGGCUCGACGCGCGCCGGCCUGCUGUUUGUGACGACUGGUAACUAACCAGGUAACCCCGACCCAGCGUGCUGCCUCCGUCCCUGCCGCUUCUUGUUGAUUUUGGAGGUAGAGGUGAAGCCAGGGCAAGAGGAGAAUUAAAAAAAAAAAAAAAAAAAAA
This is a long non-coding RNA of Tyto alba (common barn owl), 4238 nucleotides long. RefSeq lists it as uncharacterized. Lineage: Eukaryota; Metazoa; Chordata; Aves; Strigiformes; Tytonidae. The record is from RefSeq and is a predicted model, not a curated record. The transcript is spliced from 2 exons.